Molecule: ribosomal RNA, 503 nt
Filed under: uncultured bacterium
Lineage: Bacteria
Description: bacterial SSU rRNA
Rfam family: Bacterial small subunit ribosomal RNA
Source: RNAcentral
UCCUGGCUCAGGAUGAACGCUAGCUACAGGCUUAACACAUGCAAGUCGAGGGAAACGAUAUUGGAAGCUUGCCUUCCGAUAGGCGUCGACCGGCGCACGGGUGAGUAACGCGUAUCCAACCUGCCCACCACUUGGGGAUAACCUUGCGAAAGUAAGACUAAUACCCAAUGACGUCUCUAGAAGACAUCUGAAAGAGAUUAAAGAUUUAUCGGUGAUGGAUGGGGAUGCGUCUGAUUAGCUUGUUGGCGGGGUAACGGCCCACCAAGGCGACGAUCGUUAGGGGUUCUGAGAGGAAGGUCCCCCACACUGGAACUGAGACACGGUCCAGACUCCUACGGGAGGCAGCAGUGAGGAAUAUUGGUCAAUGGUCGGAAGACUGAACCAGCCAAGUAGCGUGAAGGAUGACUGCCCUACGGGUUGUAAACUUCUUUUGUUUGGGAAUAAAAGACGCUACGUGUAGCGUUCUGCAUGUACCUUACGAAUAAGCAUCGGCUAAUUCCGUG